GGUUAAGUUAGAAAGGGCGCACGGUGGAUGCCUUGGCACUAGGAGCCGAAGAAGGACGGGACUAACACCGAUAUGCUUUGGGGAGCUGUACGUAAGCGUUGAUCCAGAGAUUUCCGAAUGGGGGAACCCACUAUCUUUAGUCGGAUAGUAUCCUUACGUGAAUACAUAGCGUGAGGAAGGCAGACCCAGGGAACUGAAACAUCUAAGUACCUGGAGGAAGAGAAAGAAAAAUCGAUUUCCUGAGUAGCGGCGAGCGAAACGGAAAGAGCCCAAACCAAGAAGCUUGCUUCUUGGGGUUGUAGGACACUCUAUACGGAGUUACAAAAGAAAGUUAUAAAUGAAGCGGUCUGGAAAGGCCCGCCAAAGACGGUAACAGCCCGGUAGUUGAAAUAGCUUUCCCUCCAGAGUGGAUCCUGAGUACGGCGGAACACGUGAAAUUCCGUCGGAAUCCGGGAGGACCAUCUCCCAAGGCUAAAUACUCCCUAGUGACCGAUAGUGAACCAGUACCGUGAGGGAAAGGUGAAAAGCACCCCGGAAGGGGAGUGAAACAGUUCCUGAAACCGUGUGCCUACAAGUAGUUAGAGCCCGUUAAUGGGUGAUAGCGUGCCUUUUGUAGAAUGAACCGGCGAGUUACGAUUUGUUGCAAGGUUAAGCGGAAAAAGCGGAGCCGUAGCGAAAGCGAGUCUGAAUAGGGCGCAUAAGUAACAGGUCGUAGACCCGAAACCAGGUGAUCUACCCAUGUCCAGGAUGAAGGUAAGGUAAUACUUACUGGAGGUCCGAACCCACGCACGUUGAAAAGUGCGGGGAUGAGGUGUGGGUAGCGGAGAAAUUCCAAUCGAACUUGGAGAUAGCUGGUUCUCUCCGAAAUAGCUUUAGGGCUAGCCUCGAGGUAAAGAGUCAUGGAGGUAGAGCACUGUUUGGACUAGGGGCCCUUCUCGGGUUACCGAAUUCAGAUAAACUCCGAAUGCCAUGUACUUAUACUCGGGAGUCAGACUGCGAGUGAUAAGAUCCGUAGUCGAAAGGGAAACAGCCCAGACCACCAGUUAAGGUCCCCAAAUAUAUGUUAAGUGGAAAAGGAUGUGGGGUUGCUUAGACAACCAGGAUGUUGGCUUAGAAGCAGCCACCAUUGAAAGAGUGCGUAAUAGCUCACUGGUCGAGUGACCCCGCGCCGAAAAUGUACCGGGGCUAAACAUAUUACCGAAACUGUGGAUGAACCUCUUUAGAGGUUCGUGGUAGGAGAGCGUUCUAAGGGCGGUGAAGUCAGACCGGAAGGACUGGUGGAGCGCUUAGAAGUGAGAAUGCCGGUAUGAGUAGCGAAAGAAGGGUGAGAAUCCCUUCCACCGAAUAUCUAAGGUUUCCUGAGGAAGGCUCGUCCGCUCAGGGUUAGUCGGGACCUAAGCCGAGGCCGAUAGGCGUAGGCGAUGGACAACAGGUAGAGAUUCCUGUACCAGUGCUAAUUGUUUAACCGAUGGGGUGACACAGAAGGAUAGGGAAUCGCACGAAUGGAAAUGUGCGUCCAAGCAGUGAGUGUGAGAAGUAGGCAAAUCCGCUUCUCGCGAAGCAUGAGCUGUGAUGGGGAAGGAAAUUAAGUACGGAAGUUCCUGAUUUCACGCUGUCAAGAAAAGCCUCUAGGAAGAGUAGUACUGCCCGUACCGCAAACCGACACAGGUAGAUGAGGAGAGAAUCCUAAGGUGAGCGAGAGAACUCUCGUUAAGGAACUCGGCAAAAUGACCCCGUAACUUCGGGAGAAGGGGUGCUCUAUUAGGGUGCAAGCCCGAGAGAGCCGCAGUGAAUAGGCCCAGGCGACUGUUUAGCAAAAACACAGGUCUCUGCAAAACCGUAAGGUGACGUAUAGGGGCUGACGCCUGCCCGGUGCUGGAAGGUUAAGAGGAGUGCUUAGCUUCGGCGAAGGUACGAAUUGAAGCCCCAGUAAACGGCGGCCGUAACUAUAACGGUCCUAAGGUAGCGAAAUUCCUUGUCGGGUAAGUUCCGACCCGCACGAAAGGCGCAACGAUCUGGGCACUGUCUCAACGAGAGACUCGGUGAAAUUAUAGUACCUGUGAAGAUGCAGGUUACCCGCGACAGGACGGAAAGACCCCGUGGAGCUUUACUGCAACCUGAUAUGGAAUGUUUGUACCGCUUGUACAGGAUAGGUAGGAGCCGAAGAGACGUGUGCGCUAGCAUACGAGGAGGCAAUGGUGGGAUACUACCCUGGCUGUAUGACCAUUCUAACCCGCCACGCUUAGCGCGUGGGGAGACAGUGUCAGGUGGGCAGUUUGACUGGGGCGGUCGCCUCCUAAAGAGUAACGGAGGCGCCCAAAGGUUCCCUCAGAAUGGAUGGAAAUCAUUCGCAGAGUGUAAAGGCACAAGGGAGCUUGACUGCGAGACUGACAAGUCGAGCAGGGACGAAAGUCGGGCUUAGUGAUCCGGUGGUUCCGCAUGGA
RNAcentral lists this ribosomal RNA (2444 nucleotides) under Listeria monocytogenes. Its description in RNAcentral is "partial 23S ribosomal RNA". It matches the Rfam family "Bacterial large subunit ribosomal RNA", at positions 1 to 2437 of the family's 2925-position model. The record is from RNAcentral. Lineage: Bacteria; Bacillati; Bacillota; Bacilli; Caryophanales; Listeriaceae.